RNAcentral lists this transfer RNA (78 nucleotides) under Pseudomonadota bacterium. RNAcentral describes it as "tRNA-Phe". The record is from RNAcentral. Lineage: Bacteria; Pseudomonadati; Pseudomonadota.
ACAUCAAUGCCAAAUUUCGCGUAUUUGCGAGGAUUGAAAAUCCUUGUGUCGGUGGUUCAAUUCCGCCCCGGGCCACCA